UAAAGGGUAAAAUUUAAGCUUCUAACUUAAAAUAUGGGGUUAAAGCCCCAUCCUUUUA
Molecule: transfer RNA, 58 nt
Filed under: Haemadipsa crenata
Lineage: Eukaryota; Metazoa; Annelida; Clitellata; Hirudinida; Haemadipsidae
Description: tRNA-Ser
Source: RNAcentral